CCCGCGCCGAGCCCCUCGCACAAACCGGACCUGAACGUUUUGUUCGUUCGGCUCGCGUGAGGC
This 63-nucleotide microRNA precursor is filed under the name Sarcophilus harrisii (Tasmanian devil). RNAcentral's name for it is "mir-375 microRNA precursor family". It matches the Rfam family "mir-375 microRNA precursor family". Lineage: Eukaryota; Metazoa; Chordata; Mammalia; Dasyuromorphia; Dasyuridae. RNAcentral also lists the same sequence under 2 other names. The record is from Rfam by way of RNAcentral.